UACGCAGAAGUUUGCUUCAUCAGGCUGAAUAUGCCCUGCCUGGUAAAGCCUUCUGCCUAAC
This 61-nucleotide microRNA precursor is filed under the name Anolis carolinensis (green anole). Its description in RNAcentral is "Aca-Mir-5397_pre stem-loop". Lineage: Eukaryota; Metazoa; Chordata; Lepidosauria; Squamata; Anolidae. The record is from RNAcentral.